Molecule: transfer RNA, 72 nt
Filed under: Bos taurus (domestic cattle)
Lineage: Eukaryota; Metazoa; Chordata; Mammalia; Artiodactyla; Bovidae
Also listed under: 1 other name
Rfam family: tRNA
About the family: Transfer RNA (tRNA) molecules are approximately 80 nucleotides in length. Their secondary structure includes four short double-helical elements and three loops (D, anti-codon, and T loops). Further hydrogen bonds mediate the characteristic L-shaped molecular structure. tRNAs have two regions of fundamental functional importance: the anti-codon, which is responsible for specific mRNA codon recognition, and the 3' end, to which the tRNAs corresponding amino acid is attached (by aminoacyl-tRNA synthetases). tRNAs cope with the degeneracy of the genetic code in two manners: having more than one tRNA (with a specific anti-codon) for a particular amino acid; and 'wobble' base-pairing, i.e. permitting non-standard base-pairing at the 3rd anti-codon position.
Source: Rfam by way of RNAcentral
UCCCUGGUGGCUUAGACGGUAAAGCGUCUGCCUGCAAUGCCGGAGACCCGGGUUUGAUCCCUGGGUUGGGAA